RNAcentral lists this ribosomal RNA (253 nucleotides) under uncultured bacterium. RNAcentral describes it as "partial 16S ribosomal RNA". It matches the Rfam family "Bacterial small subunit ribosomal RNA", at positions 524 to 776 of the family's 1533-position model. The record is from RNAcentral.
UACGUAGGUGGCAAGCGUUGUCCGGAAUUAUUGGGCGUAAAGCGCGCGCAGGUGGUUUCUUAAGUCUGAUGUGAAAGCCCACGGCUCAACCGUGGAGGGUCAUUGGAAACUGGGGAACUUGAGUGCAGAAGAGGAGAGUGGAAUUCCAAGUGUAGCGGUGAAAUGCGUAGAGAUUUGGAGGAACACCAGUGGCGAAGGCGACUUUCUGGUCUGUAACUGACACUGAGGCGCGAAAGCGUGGGGAGCGAACAGG